CUGACUUCCUCCAAGUGAUACUACCUGCCUUCUCUGCCAAACCCUCUGGCCCUAACCUAUCAUGUAUGAAAGGUGAAAUAGGAGCAUACUCUGAUUUCACAGUUUUAACCAUCAUCCUGUGACCCCAAAAGUCCAUCACAGGAGGGCAUAUGCACAAAGACAUUAAAUGUAAAAGAAAUGGCCUGUGCUGAGCAACAGAGAAAGCUGUAUCAGAGAUAAAACCAAACAGAUGAAUUACCUCACAGGAUUGCUGGUCAAAGACACUCGGAGAGACUCCAGGCAUGUGACAAGUCUCUCAUCUGCAGACCCCAUUUUCAGCUCAUGAAUGAAUUCCUGAGAUUCACCAUCCAACGGCAGGAAAUGAAUUGUGUAAGUUCAAAAGAAGAUCAGGUGAAGUGGUACGAAAUUCGGUGUUUUUCAUGUUUUUUGUUUUUAUUAAUUUACUAUAAUGUUAUUCAAAACAACAUUCCCAAUAAAGCAAAACAAAUUAGCACUGUAAA
RNAcentral lists this long non-coding RNA (500 nucleotides) under Homo sapiens (human). RNAcentral's name for it is "HSALNT0373668". Lineage: Eukaryota; Metazoa; Chordata; Mammalia; Primates; Hominidae. The record is from RNAcentral.